Molecule: non-coding RNA, 32 nt
Filed under: Mus musculus (house mouse)
Lineage: Eukaryota; Metazoa; Chordata; Mammalia; Rodentia; Muridae
Source: RNAcentral
UGCCAAAAGAUGAAGGCCUUAGGUGGCUGUUU